This 399-nucleotide long non-coding RNA is filed under the name Brassica rapa (field mustard). RNAcentral's name for it is "long non-coding RNA (BRAP_LNC005399)". Lineage: Eukaryota; Viridiplantae; Streptophyta; Magnoliopsida; Brassicales; Brassicaceae. The record is from RNAcentral.
AAUAAUAUAAUAAAAUUAAUAUAAAUAUCAUAUUUAAAAAAAUAACAGUUGUCUAUACACUAAAAUCAAAAAAAAAAAAUCUUAUCUUAGAAUAAAUAUAUCUUAAAAUAAAAUAAUCUAAAGAAGGAAACUUUUGUAAAUUAAAAACUCUAUAAAUUAAUAAAAUUUCAAAGUCCCAACAUUAUUAAUUUAUAGAGGUUUUACUGUACUAAAGAGAGAUGUCCCAACGGCCAACACACGGGAGAUUUUUUAAAAAUACAAAAAGUAGUGAAACAAACAGCGUCCCCGUGUGUUGGCCGUUGGAAAAAAUUGGGAUAUGAGCCCACACAAACACACAUCAAUAGCAUCGACCUAACACACCUUCAACAACCAAACCGAGCAAUUAUUAGGCCCAGAGCG